RNAcentral lists this ribosomal RNA (253 nucleotides) under uncultured bacterium. RNAcentral describes it as "partial 16S ribosomal RNA". It matches the Rfam family "Bacterial small subunit ribosomal RNA", at positions 524 to 776 of the family's 1533-position model. The record is from RNAcentral.
UACGUAGGGUGCAAGCGUUGUCCGGAAUUAUUGGGCGUAAAGAGCUCGUAGGCGGUCUGUCGCGUCGGCUGUGAAAACUUGGGGCUCAACCCCAAGCCUGCAGUCGAUACGGGCAGACUAGAGUGCGGUAGGGGAGACUGGAAUUCCCGGUGUAGCGGUGAAAUGCGCAGAUAUCAGGAGGAACACCGGUGGCGAAGGCGGGUCUCUGGGCCGUAACUGACGCUGAGGAGCGAAAGCGUGGGGAGCGAACAGG